This 253-nucleotide ribosomal RNA is filed under the name uncultured bacterium. Its description in RNAcentral is "partial 16S ribosomal RNA". It matches the Rfam family "Bacterial small subunit ribosomal RNA", at positions 524 to 776 of the family's 1533-position model. The record is from RNAcentral.
GACGAACUGUCCUAACGUUGUUCGGAAUCACUGGGCUUAAAGGGCGCGUAGGCGGUCCGAUAAGUCGGGGGUGAAAUCCUGCAGCUUAACUGCAGAAGUGCCUUCGAUACUGUCGGUCUUGAGGGAGAUAGGGGUGUGCGGAACUUCCAGUGGAGCGGUGAAAUGCGUUGAUAUUGGAAGGAACGCCGGAGGCGAAAGCGGCGCACUGGAUCUCUUCUGACGCUGAGGCGCGAAAGCUAGGGGAGCAAACGGG